This 494-nucleotide ribosomal RNA is filed under the name uncultured bacterium. Its description in RNAcentral is "bacterial SSU rRNA". It matches the Rfam family "Bacterial small subunit ribosomal RNA", at positions 15 to 507 of the family's 1533-position model. The record is from RNAcentral.
GAUCCUGGCUCAGAUUGAACGCUGGCGGCAUGCUUUACACAUGCAAGUCGAACGGUAACAGGCCGCAAGGUGCUGACGAGUGGCGAACAGGUGAGUAAUAUAUCGGAACGUGCCCAGUCGUGGGGGAUAACGUAGCGAAAGUUACGCUAAUACCGCAUACGAUCUACGGAUGAAAGCGGGGAUCGCAAGACCUCGCGCGAUUGGAGCGGCCGAUAUCAGAUUAGGUAGUUGGUGGGGUAAAGGCUCACCAAGCCAACGAUCUGUAGCUGGUCUGAGAGGACGACCAGCCACACUGGAACUGAGACACGGUCCAGACUCCUACGGGAGGCAGCAGUGGGGAAUUUUGGACAAUGGACGCAAGUCUGAUCCAGCCAUUCCGCGUGCAGGAUGAAGGCCCUCGGGUUGUAAACUGCUUUUGUACGGAACGUAAAAGGUUUUAUUAAUACUAGGAGCUCAUGACGGUACCGUAAGAAUAAGCACCGGCUAACUACGUG